This 26-nucleotide non-coding RNA is filed under the name Homo sapiens (human). The record is from RNAcentral. Lineage: Eukaryota; Metazoa; Chordata; Mammalia; Primates; Hominidae.
UAAAUAAAGGACAGGCUAUUCACGAG